RNAcentral lists this ribosomal RNA (582 nucleotides) under Shigella flexneri. Its description in RNAcentral is "partial 23S ribosomal RNA". It matches the Rfam family "Bacterial large subunit ribosomal RNA", at positions 658 to 1237 of the family's 2925-position model. The record is from RNAcentral. Lineage: Bacteria; Pseudomonadati; Pseudomonadota; Gammaproteobacteria; Enterobacterales; Enterobacteriaceae.
UAGGGGAGCCGAAGGGAAACCGAGUCUUAACUGGGCGUUAAGUUGCAGGGUAUAGACCCGAAACCCGGUGAUCUAGCCAUGGGCAGGUUGAAGGUUGGGUAACACUAACUGGAGGACCGAACCGACUAAUGUUGAAAAAUUAGCGGAUGACUUGUGGCUGGGGGUGAAAGGCCAAUCAAACCGGGAGAUAGCUGGUUCUCCCCGAAAGCUAUUUAGGUAGCGCCUCGUGAAUUCAUCUCCGGGGGUAGAGCACUGUUUCGGCAAGGGGGUCAUCCCGACUUACCAACCCGAUGCAAACUGCGAAUACCGGAGAAUGUUAUCACGGGAGACACACGGCGGGUGCUAACGUCCGUCGUGAAGAGGGAAACAACCCAGACCGCCAGCUAAGGUCCCAAAGUCAUGGUUAAGUGGGAAACGAUGUGGGAAGGCCCAGACAGCCAGGAUGUUGGCUUAGAAGCAGCCAUCAUUUAAAGAAAGCGUAAUAGCUCACUGGUCGAGUCGGCCUGCGCGGAAGAUGUAACGGGGCUAAACCAUGCACCGAAGCUGCGGCAGCGACGCUUAUGCGUUGUUGGGUAGGGGAGC